GAGGAUGAUAUCUAUGACUUUAUCAAAUUAGAUCAUCCUUUAUUGAUAAAAAUAGUGAGAACAGAGCAGUUUACAAGACUAAAGGAAAUUAAAAAGUUAGGCUGUAUAUAUUAUAAUAUACCAAAAGCAAGUUAUUCAAGAUAUGAGCAAAGUAUUGGAAUGUAUUAUUUUGCUGGGAAAUUUGUGAAGACACUCAGAAAAAGACAACCUGAGCUGAAUAUUACUGAUUCUGAUGUUUUGUGUGUACAAAUUGCUGCUCUUUGUUAUAACCUGGGUCAUGGACCUUUCUCUGGUAUUUUUACUAAUUUCUUAAAGGAAAUCAA
Amphimedon queenslandica is the source of this 323-nucleotide long non-coding RNA. RefSeq lists it as uncharacterized. Lineage: Eukaryota; Metazoa; Porifera; Demospongiae; Haplosclerida; Niphatidae. The transcript is spliced from 3 exons. The record is from RefSeq and is a predicted model, not a curated record.